RNAcentral lists this transfer RNA (66 nucleotides) under Architeuthis dux (giant squid). RNAcentral's name for it is "tRNA-Tyr". Lineage: Eukaryota; Metazoa; Mollusca; Cephalopoda; Oegopsida; Architeuthidae. The record is from RNAcentral.
UGUGGGGUGGUCGAUUUAAGUCGGUAGAUUGUAAAUUUAUGAAUGAGUUGUUAUACUCUCCCAUAA